This 409-nucleotide ribosomal RNA is filed under the name Salmonella enterica. Its description in RNAcentral is "partial 23S ribosomal RNA". It matches the Rfam family "Bacterial large subunit ribosomal RNA", at positions 783 to 1190 of the family's 2925-position model. RNAcentral also lists the same sequence under 1 other name. Lineage: Bacteria; Pseudomonadati; Pseudomonadota; Gammaproteobacteria; Enterobacterales; Enterobacteriaceae. The record is from RNAcentral.
CUAAUGUUGAAAAAUUAGCGGAUGACCUGUGGCUGGGGGUGAAAGGCCAAUCAAACCGGGAGAUAGCUGGUUCUCCCCGAAAGCUAUUUAGGUAGCGCCUCGUGAAUUCAUCUCCGGGGGUAGAGCACUGUUUCGGCUAGGGGGCCAUCCCGGCUUACCAACCCGAUGCAAACUGCGAAUACCGGAGAAUGUUAUCACGGGAGACACACGGCGGGUGCUAACGUCCGUCGUGAAGAGGGAAACAACCCAGACCGCCAGCUAAGGUCCCAAAGUCAUGGUUAAGUGGGAAACGAUGUGGGAAGGCCCAGACAGCCAGGAUGUUGGCUUAGAAGCAGCCAUCAUUUAAAGAAAGCGUAAUAGCUCACUGGUCGAGUCGGCCUGCGCGGAAGAUGUAACGGGGCUAAACCAU